Molecule: ribosomal RNA, 441 nt
Filed under: uncultured bacterium
Lineage: Bacteria
Description: bacterial SSU rRNA
Rfam family: Bacterial small subunit ribosomal RNA
Source: RNAcentral
AACGCGAAGAACCUUACCUGGGCUCGAAAUGCAGUGGACCGGGGUGGAAACAUCCCUUUUCGCAAGAACCGCUGUAUAGGUGCUGCAUGGCUGUCGUCAGCUCGUGUCGUGAGAUGUUGGGUUAAGUCCCGCAACGAGCGCAACCCUUAUCCCUAGUUGCCAUCGGGUCAAGCCGGGCACUCUAGUGAAACUGCCUCGGAUAACGAGGAGGAAGGUGGGGAUGACGUCAAGUCCUCAUGGCCUUUAUGUCCAGGGCUACACACGUGCUACAAUGGUCGGUACAAACCGUCGCAAACCCGUGAGGGGGAGCUAAUCGGAAAAAGCCGGCCUCAGUUCGGAUUGGAGUCUGCAACUCGACUCCAUGAAGCUGGAAUCGCUAGUAAUCGCGGAUCAGAACGCCGCGGUGAAUACGUUCCCGGGCCUUGUACACACCGCGUGUCU